GAUGAAGGUGUGUUGAGAAGCAUGCUGGAGGUAUCAGAAGUGCGAAUGCUGACGUGAGUAACGACAAAACGGGUGAAAAACCCGUUCGCCGAAAGACCAAGGGUUCCAGUCCAACGUUAAUCGGGGCUGGGUGAGUCGACCCCUAAGGCGAGGCCGAAAGGCGUAGUCGAUGGGAAAAUGGUUAAUAUUCCAUUACUUCUGUGUAAUGCGAUGAGAGGACGGAGAAGGCUAAAUCAGCCUGGCGUUGGUUGUCCAGGUGAAAGGAUGUAGGCAUGUAUCUUAGGCAAAUCCGGGGUACUCUAUGCUGAGAUCUGAUAGCAAGCUGUACUUGUACAGCGAAGUGGUUGAUGCCAUGCUUCCAGGAAAAGUCUCUAAGCUUCAGUUACACAGGAAUCGUACCCGAAACCGACACAGGUGGUCAGGUCGAGUAGACCAAGGCGCUUGAGAGAACUCUGCUGAAGGAACUAGGCAAAAUGGUACCGUAACUUCGGGAGAAGGUACGCUGUUGUUGGUGAUGGAACUCGCUUCCUGAGCUGACGACAGCCGCAGAAACCAGGCCGCUGCAACUGUUUAUUAAAAACAUAGCACUCUGCAAACACGAAAGUGGACGUAUAGGGUGUGAUGCCUGCCCGGUGCUGGAAGGUUAAUUGAUGGGGUUAGCGUAAGCGAAGCUCUUGAUCGAAGCCCCAGUAAACGGCGGCCGUAACUAUAACGGUCCUAAGGUAGCGAAAUUCCUUGUCGGGUAAGUUCCGACCUGCACGAAUGGCAUAAUGAUGGCGGCGCUGUCUCCAGCAGAGGCUCAGUGAAAUCGAAAUCGCUGUGAAGAUGCAGUGUACCCGCGGCUAGACGGAAAGACCCCGUGAACCUUUACUGCAGCUUGACACUGAACUUUGACCUUACUUGUGUAGGAUAGGUGGGAGGCUUUGAAGCUGGAACGCUAGUUCCAGUGGAGCCGUCCUUGAAAUACCACCCUGGUAAUGUUGAGGUUCUAACUCUGUCCCGUGAUCCGGGACGAGGACCGUGUCUGGUGGGUAGUUUGACUGGGGCGGUCUCCUCCUAAAGAGUAACGGAGGAGUACGAAGGUGCGCUCAGCGUGGUCGGAAAUCACGCGUAGAGUAUAAAGGCAAAAGCGCGCUUAACUGCGAGACCCACAAGUCGAGCAGGUACGAAAGUAGGUCUUAGUGAUCCGGUGGUUCUGUAUGGAAGGGCCAUCGCUCAACGGAUAAAAGGUACUCUGGGGAUAACAGGCUGAUACCGCCCAAGAGUUCAUAUCGACGGCGGUGUUUGGCACCUCGAUGUCGGCUCAUCUCAUCCUGGGGCUGAAGCAGGUCCCAAGGGUAUGGCUGUUCGCCAUUUAAAGAGGUACGCGAGCUGGGUUUAGAACGUCGUGAGACAGUUCGGUCCCUAUCUACCGUGGGCGCUGGAAAUUUGAGAGGAUCUGCUCCUAGUACGAGAGGACCAGAGUGGACGAACCUCUGGUGUACCGGUUGUGACGCCAGUCGCAUCGCCGGGUAGCUAUGUUCGGAAGGGAUAACCGCUGAAAGCAUCUAAGCGGGAAGCCUACCUCAAGAUAAGAUUUCCCUAGGACUUUAUGUCCUCUAAAGAGCCGUUCGAGACUAGGACGUUGAUAGGUUGGAUGUGGAAGCAUAGUGAUAUGUGAAGCUGACCAAUACUAAUUGCUCGUGAGGCUUGACUAU
This 1697-nucleotide ribosomal RNA is filed under the name Acinetobacter baumannii 273929. RNAcentral's name for it is "bacterial LSU rRNA". It matches the Rfam family "Bacterial large subunit ribosomal RNA", at positions 1249 to 2925 of the family's 2925-position model. The record is from RNAcentral. Lineage: Bacteria; Pseudomonadati; Pseudomonadota; Gammaproteobacteria; Moraxellales; Moraxellaceae.